RNAcentral lists this ribosomal RNA (491 nucleotides) under uncultured bacterium. RNAcentral describes it as "partial 16S ribosomal RNA". It matches the Rfam family "Bacterial small subunit ribosomal RNA", at positions 29 to 507 of the family's 1533-position model. The record is from RNAcentral.
AGUGAACGCUGGCGGUAGGCCUAACACAUGCAAGUCGAACGCAGCCACGUUAGAGCCUGCCCUUUACGGUUGCCGGUGGGCGGAGGGGUAGGAAUUCCAUGGAAACCUCCUUUUUGUGGGGGAUUAACGAGGGAAAACUUAGCCUAUAACGCCAUCCGACCUCGGGUGAAAACCGGGGGUUCUCCGGCCUUUCGCCGUUGCAUGAGCCGAUGUCGGAUUAGCUAGUUGGCGGGGUAAAGGCCCACCAAGGCGACGAUCCGUAGCUGGUCUGAGAGGAUGAUCAGCCACACUGGAACUGAGACACGGUCCAGACUCCUACGGGAGGCAGCAGUGGGGAAUAUUGGACAAUGGGCGCAAGCCUGAUCCAGCCAUACCGCGUGGGUGAAGAAGGCCUUCGGGUUGUAAAGCCCUUUUGUUGGGAAAGAAAAGCAGCAGGUUAAUACCCCGCUGUUCUGACGGUACCCAAAGAAUAAGCACCGGCUAACUUCGUG